This 170-nucleotide small nucleolar RNA is filed under the name Propithecus coquereli (Coquerel's sifaka). RNAcentral's name for it is "Small Cajal body specific RNA 16 (ENSPCOG00000002324.1)". It matches the Rfam family "Small Cajal body specific RNA 16". From Rfam's summary of the family: scaRNAs are a specific class of small nuclear RNAs which localise to the Cajal bodies and guide the modification of RNA polymerase II transcribed spliceosomal RNAs U1, U2, U4, U5 and U12. ACA47 belongs to the H/ACA box class of guide RNAs as it has the predicted hairpin-hinge-hairpin-tail structure, the conserved H/ACA-box motifs and is found associated with GAR1. ACA47 is predicted to guide the pseudouridylation of residue U5 of the U1 spliceosomal snRNA. Lineage: Eukaryota; Metazoa; Chordata; Mammalia; Primates; Indriidae. The record is from Rfam by way of RNAcentral.
AAGCUCUGGGAGGUUUUACUCUUGGCAUUUGAAAAAGGCCACUCUGCCAGGUAGCCCAACCCUGACCUAAAGAGAAUUCCCAGAAGUCUUUCCUGGGAUUUGAAUUUGCAGUAACCGGUGUGAGCAUUCUAGCAGCAGUUUGGUGAUCAUGUACGAUACUGCAAACAGGA